UAGGGAAUCUUCCACAAUGGACGCAAGUCUGAUGGAGCAACGCCGCGUGAGUGAAGAAGGCUUUCGGGUCGUAAAACUCUGUUAUUGAAGAAGAACGUGUGUGACAGUAACUGGUCAUGCAGUGACGGUAUUCAAUCAGAAAGUCACGGCUAACUACGUGCCAGCAGCCGCGGUAAUACGUAGGUGGCAAGCGUUGUCCGGAUUUAUUGGGCGUAAAGCGAGUGCAGGCGGUCUUUUAAGUCUGAUGUGAAAGCCUUCGGCUUAACCGAAGAAGGGCAUCGGAAACUGGGAGACUUGAGUGCAGAAGAGGAGAGUGGAACUCCAUGUGUAGCGGUGAAAUGCGUAGAUAUAUGGAGAAACACCCAAGUUGGGCGAAGGCGGCUCUCUGGUCUGUAACUGACGCUGAGGCUCGAAAGCGUGGGUAGCAAACAGGAUUAGAUACCCUGGUAGUCCACGCCGU
RNAcentral lists this ribosomal RNA (460 nucleotides) under uncultured bacterium. RNAcentral's name for it is "partial 16S ribosomal RNA". It matches the Rfam family "Bacterial small subunit ribosomal RNA", at positions 355 to 803 of the family's 1533-position model. The record is from RNAcentral.